CCUACGGGAGGCAGCAGUGGGGAAUAUUGGACAAUGGGGGGAACCCUGAUCCAGCCAUGCCGCGUGUGUGAAGAAGGCCCUCGGGUUGUAAAGCACUUUCAGUGAGGAAGAACGCCUGGUGGUUAAUACCCAUCAGGAAAGCCAUCACUCACAGAAGAAGCACCGGCUAACUCCGUGCCAGCAGCCGCGGUAAUACGGAGGGUGCGAGCGUUAAUCGGAAUUACUGGGCGUAAAGCGCGCGUAGGUGGCUUGAUAAGCCGGUUGUGAAAGCCCCGGGCUCAACCUGGGAACGGCAUCCGGAACUGUCAAGCUAGAGUGCAGGAGAGGAAGGUAGAAUUCCCGGUGUAGCGGUGAAAUGCGUAGAGAUCGGGAGGAAUACCAGUGGCGAAGGCGGCCUUCUGGACUGACACUGACACUGAGGUGCGAAAGCGUGGGUAGCAAACAGGAUUAGAUACCCGUGUAGUC
Molecule: ribosomal RNA, 465 nt
Filed under: Vreelandella stevensii
Lineage: Bacteria; Pseudomonadati; Pseudomonadota; Gammaproteobacteria; Oceanospirillales; Halomonadaceae
Description: partial 16S ribosomal RNA
Rfam family: Bacterial small subunit ribosomal RNA
Source: RNAcentral